AUGACACCAAGGAAGGUGUUAAAGGCCUUGUUGAUGCUGGGAUAACAGUGGUUCCUAGAAUUUUUCAUCAACCACCAGAUCAGUACUCCACCAACAACAACUUUGAUUCAGAAGCCACCCAGUUUAGCGUUCCAGUCAUAGACCUUGAAGGCCUUGAGUUAAAUAGACCAAUGAAACGCAAGGAGAUUGUUACAAAAGUUGGAGAGGCAUCAGAGACUUGGGGAUUUUUUCAAAUUGUGAAACACGGAAUACCUAUUGAUGUUUUGGAGGAGAUAAAGGAUGGGGUACGUGGGUUUUAUGAGCAAGACACUCAAGUGAAGAAACAGUUUUAUACUCGAGAUCACUUCAAACCUGUGGUCUACAAUAGCAACUUUGAUCUACACAGAGCACCAGCGACUAAUUGGAGGGAUUCUUUUAUGUGCUACAUGGCUCCUAAUCCUACUAAGCCAGAAGACAUGCCAGAAGUAUUCAGGUAUGUGACAUGGAAACUUAUAAUUCUCUGCUAUCAUUAGAAAAUUUAAGAUGGUAUUAAUUAAUUUGAUACAGAUACGAACCACCCAUAUGGGUUUUAUAUAUAUGGGUAGGCAGCAUCACCAAACAAACAUGCACCUAGCUAGCCCAUGACAAAUGGUAUUAGAGCAGGCCUAGUUCCUUAUCUGUUAUGGCCUGUGACAAAGCUGUAUCGUGUCCGGGAGGGGUAGAAUGUCCCAAACAAGAAUCCCAUAUUUUAAAUAAGAAUGAACUUAAUCCAAGGUUUAUACAUGAGUAAGUAGGUGACAUCUGACAGUAGGCCAUUUGCCUUUUCUAAACAUAAAUCAAAAGUCAUUCAGCUCACGAUUUUGGUUAAAUGCCUGGCUCUACAAUUUUUAAUUGAAUCAUAUAUAUAUAUGACAACUUCAUGUGCUUUUCUGUGUUUCAACUUUUAUAGAGACAUACUUAUUGAAUACUCCAAGCAAGUAAUGAAAUUGGGGAAGUUGUUGUUCGAGUUGCUGUCGGAGGCUCUUGGGCUAAAGCCAAGUCACUUGAAUGACAUAGAUUGUAGUUUAGGGCUUGUGCAUGUAGGCCAUUACUAUCCUUCAUGUCCCCAGCCAGAGUUAACUCUGGGGACAAGCAAGCACGCUGACAAUGACUUUAUCACAGUCCUUCUGCAAGAUCAUAUUGGCGGUCUCCAGGUUCUUAAUCAGAACAAGUGGAUUGAUGUACCUCCUGUUCCUGGGGCUCUAGUAGUUAACAUUGGAGAUCUUCUACAGGCGAGUACAACUAUUCUUCUUCUUCUUCAUUGUUUUUUUCUUUAAUUGAAAGGGAGAUGUUAUUUAUACUUCUUAAAAGGGAGUAGGCUGGAGUAGUAUAUACUAUUAUUGUACCUGAAUAUGUCUCAAAUUCUUCCAUCUGGUUUCCUACUUUGGGUUUUUUUUCUUGUUCUUUUUAAUUUUUUUUUAUGGUUGAGUUCUUUUGGGGUUGCAGCUUAUAUCAAAUGAAAGAUUCAAGAGCGUCGAGCAUAGGGUACUAGCGAACCGUGUAGGUCCAAGAGUAUCGGUUGCAAGUUUCUUUAGCACAGGUAUGCUACCAUUGGGGAGACUCUAUGGACCUAUCAAAGAACUAUUAUCAGAAGACAACCCCCCAAAGUACAGGGAGACAACCAUAAGGGAAUAUAAUGCCCACUUCAUUGACAAAGGCCUUGAUGGGACCUCAGCCUUGACUCAUUUUGAGCUUUGA
This 1716-nucleotide long non-coding RNA is filed under the name Prunus dulcis (almond). RNAcentral's name for it is "sRNA ncRNA". The record is from RNAcentral. Lineage: Eukaryota; Viridiplantae; Streptophyta; Magnoliopsida; Rosales; Rosaceae.